RNAcentral lists this ribosomal RNA (119 nucleotides) under Petromyzon marinus (sea lamprey). The record is from RNAcentral. Lineage: Eukaryota; Metazoa; Chordata; Hyperoartia; Petromyzontiformes; Petromyzontidae.
GCCCAUGACUAAAUCACCCGAAACGCAUCCUGAUCUUGUCCGAUCUCGGAAGGCACACAGGGUUGAGCCCGGAGAGUGCUUGGAUGGGCGACCACAUUGCAUAACAGGUGUCAUGUGCU